UAGCUCAGUUGGUAGAGCAUGAGACUCUUAAUCUCAGGGUUGUGGAUUCAUGUCCCAU
RNAcentral lists this transfer RNA (58 nucleotides) under Cricetulus griseus (Chinese hamster). It matches the Rfam family "tRNA", at positions 8 to 63 of the family's 71-position model. From Rfam's summary of the family: Transfer RNA (tRNA) molecules are approximately 80 nucleotides in length. Their secondary structure includes four short double-helical elements and three loops (D, anti-codon, and T loops). The record is from Rfam by way of RNAcentral. Lineage: Eukaryota; Metazoa; Chordata; Mammalia; Rodentia; Cricetidae.